UUCCUAAAACAUAGUGAUAAUGCACCAGAUUCCAUAGAACUCUACAGUUAAGCAUGCUCAAGCUAGAGUAGUACUGGGAUGGGUGAUCGCUCGUGAAGUCCUAGUAUUUUACAUGC
Non-coding RNA from Picea glauca (white spruce), 116 nucleotides. Lineage: Eukaryota; Viridiplantae; Streptophyta; Pinopsida; Pinales; Pinaceae. The record is from Rfam.